Molecule: ribosomal RNA, 118 nt
Filed under: Danio rerio (zebrafish)
Lineage: Eukaryota; Metazoa; Chordata; Actinopteri; Cypriniformes; Danionidae
Source: RNAcentral
UGCCACAGCCAUUUGACCCUGACGGCCAAGAGUGGUUACUCACAGAAGCUAAGCAGGGCUGAGCCUGGUCAAUCCCUGGAUUGAAAACCACAUGGGAAUACUGGGUUGCUGGUGGUGU